CCAGUUCUGUUAAUGUGAGUCCAGCAUCCGGAGUCCGUCGGCAGUGUCCAGCGAGUUCGGCGGCAAGGUUCCAGAAGACGUUUCGUUAAUUUUUCCAUGGAAAGUCUUCGUCGGAUUGACUGACCAUAGUCAAAGGGCCUACGCAAAGAGCGUCGAGGAACGUGGGGAUUGUCAACCGGGCUUAAGGCUGCCGUAACACAUAAAAGCGUGCUCUGCACCAGGCAUCAUGUCAACGUUCAGGUACACUUCGUCCGGGUUACCGAUAGCCCGAAACAUAGUUCACUUCAAGCAUUUCUCCACCUUCAAGAAUUCGAAGAUCAUCAGCUACCCGAACUUGAGAUUCAAUAUCCAAUGUCAGAGGACGACCUAUAGUCGUAAUUUUUCGACUCUUCGAAAGGACAUCGUCCUGCGGCAGGGCUUUGGUUCAUCAACGAUUUUGACACUUGACAGACGUUACUCUGAACAAGUUCAGAAGAUGCCGGAUUUCGUGGAAAAAUACUAUCCGCAAGUGUCCGACGUGGUUACCCACGCCACGAAGUUUUCAACAUCCACCGAGGGUAUCUACGAUCAUAUAAAGGGCGUUCAAGUCACGAGCCGGUUAGCGAAGCCUCUCGCACCGAGGAUCCGAGCUUACUUAGAAGAGUGCGUCGCACUUUGUUGUCCGGAUAACGUUUACGUCUGCGAUGGAAGUGAGGAGGAGAAUCUGCAGCUGCUCAAACUACUCGAGAAAAAAGGAACCAUCAAAGCUUUGCCUAAAUACGAAAAUUGCUGGUUGGCAAAGACGAAUCCCGCCGACGUUGCACGUGUGGAGAGCAGGACCUUCAUAAGCACGGAUGAGAGAAGCAAAACCAUUCCAACCCCGCGUGACGGGGUCAAGGGAACCCUGGGGAAUUGGAUGUCACCGGAGGACAUGAACAAGGCUGUGCUUCAGCGUUUUCCCGGCUGCAUGAAAGGUCGUACCAUGUACGUCGUUCCCUUCAGCAUGGGCCCCGUAGGCUCAAACUUGUCGAAGUUAGGCAUCGAGAUCACGGAUUCCGCCUACGUUGUUUGCUCGAUGCGAGUGAUGACCAGGAUGGGCAGUGCCGUUCUUGACUGCCUGGGCAACGACGAGUUUGUUAAGUGUCUCCAUUCCGUCGGAACCCCGGCGAGCAACGCGACUCACCCCGUGAUGUCCUCUUGGCCUUGCGAUCCGGAAAGGACGAUAAUCCUCCACAAACCAGCAACAAACGAUAUCGUUUCUUAUGGCAGUGGCUACGGGGGCAACUCUCUUCUCGGAAAGAAGUGCUUUGCCCUCAGAAUCGGUUCGACGAUCGCCAGGGACGAGGGAUGGCUCGCCGAGCACAUGCUGAUCUUAGGAAUCACGAACCCCAAGGGCAGGAAGCGCUACAUUGCAGCCGCCUUUCCCAGCGCGUGCGGAAAGACAAACAUGGCCAUGAUGCAGCCGACACUUCCCGGGUACAAGGUGGAGUGCGUGGGGGACGAUAUUGCCUGGAUGAAGUUCGACAAGGAGGGAAAAUUGCGGGCGAUCAAUCCUGAGAACGGUUUUUUCGGCGUGGCACCGGGCACCAGUACCCUCAGCAAUCCAAACGCGAUGAAAACAGUCUUUAAGAACACGAUUUUCACGAACGUUGCUGCCACUAGCGAUGGCGGUGUGUUCUGGGAAGGCAUGGAAAACGAGCUAGAGGAAAACGUGGAGGUCGAGGAUUGGCUAGGCAACAAGUGGAUGAGAAGCUCGAAGACACCAGCUGCCCACCCUAAUUCGAGGUUUUGCACACCCGCGAAACAGUGUCCUAUUAUAGACCCGGACUGGGAAAAUCCCGAGGGGGUGCCAAUCGACGCCAUAUUGUUUGGUGGCCGAAGGCCAGAGGGGGUUCCACUUGUCUAUCAAGCUAGAUGUUGGCAGCACGGAGUCUUCAUUGGUGCAACAAUGCGCUCUGAGGCUACCGCCGCAGCGGAACACAAAGCCAAAGUCAUCAUGAAUGAUCCUUUUGCCAUGCGGCCCUUCUUCGGCUAUAACUUCGGACACUACCUCCAGCACUGGCUGAGUAUGGCCGAUGUACCAAACGCGCAACUACCCGCCAUAUUCCAUGUGAAUUGGUUCAGAAAAGGAGCCGAUGGAAAGUUUCUCUGGCCAGGUUUCGGUGAAAAUUCCCGGGUCCUUGACUGGAUCUUACGACGAGUUGAUGGAGCUGAUAUCGCCGUCGAAUCACCGAUCGGUCUUCUACCUAGACCUGGUACUCUUAAUUUGGAUGGUCUGAAGAUUUCCAUCGACACAAAUGCUCUGUUCGAUCUCCCUCGCGAGUUUUGGCAACGCGAAGCUGCCGAGCUCAGAGAAUACCUCGAGGAUCAGGUCAACGUGGAUUUGCCGCAAGAAAUCAGAACACAACUGAACAUUCUUGCGGGCAAAGUCGCCAACAUUUAAGCUCACGAAUUCAUCGAUUAAAUGAGAAUAAAAUGGGAAAGCCUUGUCGAUCUGUUGUUGGAUUCGUCGAUGCAUGUACAGAUCGUUGGGAAUGAAGACGCUUACGGUUCUCAAGCCGAAACCACGCUCACAUUCAUAUUCCCAAUUUAGUAGCGCACUCUCACACGAAAUAGGUUUUUGAAACGAAUAUCGGAGGUUCCUGGACGGCAUUUAGUUUUACGAAGGUAGUGAAUAAUGCCGCACAUAUUUUCGGUAGCGAAGUAUCACAGUCAGAACUGGGCACCGUUUAGUAGGUGAUGAUUAAUGUUUUGUCGUAAAUUUAAAGCAUAUGGAUUUUGUUAUUUAUUUAUUCAUGCUGCAAUAACGUCAGUUGUUAAUGUUUGUAUUGUGCCACUUCACUGUGAUAAGUGUGCUUUGUAGUAACCAAGGCUUUUGUAAUACUAAGUACGGUGGAGCACGGGUCGGUAACCAACCGGCAUUUACCGUCCAGGAUAUCUCGAAAAUUAGUUGCAAAAAACUUAUUUCGUGUUAGAGAGCGCUACCGAAUAAGGGGUACUUGAAAUGGGUAUGCGGGCUCUAAGGUGCCUCUCUGCUAGCAAUAACUCAACCAAGAACUCUGCCGUACCGAUGAAUUUCUGCAUUGCCGACGAUCGUCUCUACUGCACUUUGAGCGAGAAGUUAUAGCUUGAGUCAACGCAGGAUAGCGCAGAAUGUAAAUUCGCGAUGAAAUAAUGUCAAACAAAGACUUAAUUCUUGAUGUACUAAAGAUGGCUGAGUCAGGCUUGGAAUGUACAGUGAAUUUAGCGUAAAUGAAUUCUCGGCGGAUUGAUUACUUUUUUUCUGAACGUCUUUCUAAGAGAUUUUACAUUUCUUCUUUUUGGCUUCGUCUAAAAAAUUCUAAACCUCACCAACAGACCUAUAUGAUUCGUGCUUCGCGUGACGCGACGGCACUUUGUAUUUCAAGCGAAAAAAACCGUAUAAAUAGGAAAAAAUCAACACCGGGAGAAACAAACGACAACACCCUGCUGUUCAGACACCCCUGCAAUCUCCUAAUUAAACACUACUUUUAAUUAACUCUACCGGAGUAAUUGCAGUGCACGGUGGUUCUAUAACCGUGCGAAAUGAAAUAAUGCGAUGAAUUUUGACUUGGUGCUUCUCAAAAUCCGCAACAUUUAGUGUUGGACGGCAAUCACGGCAAAUAAAAUAAAAAUCACUUGGCUAA
RNA transcript from Neodiprion virginianus, 3644 nucleotides. It is a transcript of the gene named phosphoenolpyruvate carboxykinase [GTP]-like, with no coding region annotated. The record is from RefSeq and is a predicted model, not a curated record. NCBI's taxonomy places the organism in Eukaryota, Metazoa, Arthropoda, Insecta, Hymenoptera, Diprionidae. The transcript has 11 exons.